UUUAGGUUGUCAGUUCCUGUUCAGACUUUUCAAAAUCUUGAUGUUAAUCUCUUCUUUCUCAAAGGCUUUGCCAAGAGCCAUCAAGUGGUUUACAAUAUGAGUGAACCGUUUCUGGACAUCAUAGAUAUUCUCACCAGCUUUCAUUCUGAACAACUCAUAUUCUUGUAUCAAUGAAUUCUUCCUGUCUCUCUUGACUUCAUCCGUGCCUUCAUGUGUUACCUCUAGAACAUCCUACAUUUCCUUUGCAGUCUU
Molecule: long non-coding RNA, 252 nt
Filed under: Vigna radiata
Lineage: Eukaryota; Viridiplantae; Streptophyta; Magnoliopsida; Fabales; Fabaceae
Description: long non-coding RNA (VRAD_LNC008543)
Source: RNAcentral